This 243-nucleotide ribosomal RNA is filed under the name uncultured bacterium. RNAcentral describes it as "partial 16S ribosomal RNA". It matches the Rfam family "Bacterial small subunit ribosomal RNA", at positions 524 to 768 of the family's 1533-position model. The record is from RNAcentral.
UACGAAGGGGGCUAGCGUUGCUCGGAAUCACUGGGCGUAAAGGGUGCGUAGGCGGGUCUUUAAGUCAGGGUGAAUCCUGGAGCUCAACUCCAGAACUGCCUUUGAUACUGAGGAUCUUGAGUUCGGGAGAGGUGAGUGGAACUGCGAGUGUAGAGGUGAAAUUCGUAGAUAUUCGCAAGAACACCAGUGGCGAAGGCGGCUCACUGGCCCGAUACUGACGCUGAGGCACGAAAGCGUGGGGAG